This 894-nucleotide long non-coding RNA is filed under the name Zonotrichia albicollis (white-throated sparrow). Its description in RNAcentral is "lncRNA (ENSZALG00000004104.1)". Lineage: Eukaryota; Metazoa; Chordata; Aves; Passeriformes; Passerellidae. The record is from RNAcentral.
CUCCUCUUUCUUUAUAGCUUUUAGAAAAAGUGUUUAUCUAAAACCUAAGAAAAGGAUAGACGAAAACUGUCUAAUAAGCAAAAAAAAAAAAAAAAAAAAAUCUGUCCUUUAUAUGAUUUUAGCAACAGCCCUGGGAAACAUGCAGUUUACAGUAGAUGCCAUUGCCUCCCUAAUCAUCAUGAUUCGUGUAGUUAUACUUCAAAGUUGCAUGGAAAGCAGAGAUGUCACAAUGAGAUUCCUUGAACAAAAAUCUUCUCUUUUGAAAGCAAGAAGUUGGCCAAACCCACCCAAACUGAAGAUUCUGAGUGGAAUAAAGCCCAGCUUCUUGAAACCUUUUCAGUCCAACCCAUGAAGUGAAAAGCAUUUAAAAAGAAAAAUAUGACCCGAUCUGAGAACUGUGGUUUCCAAGCUGCAACAAGAAAAGCCAAAGAUGGUUCCCCCUGACUGAACUUCCCCCCCAACUUGCACACCAGACACCGAAGUUCAGCUCCAGACCUGUCUCAUGGCUAUAAUAUGAAAUACAACAGCCCCAGUAACUAAGGCACAUCAGCUGUGCAGACAUUAUGCCCCACUGGAGACCACAGUUGUGCUCAUCACCCCAGCAGUGCAGAGGUUCAGCUCACCAUGUUCUGAGAUAUGUUGUUUCUCAUAACUCUUCCCUGUAAAUACCCAAGACAGCUAUAAAAAAAGGUGAGGCUGAAAGGUCAAACAAUUAGCUUUCCUACUUGUGAAGAAAUAGCUUUUCCAAGCUUAUUAAUGGAAAAAUACAGGAUGAGAUCGCCAGUUACCAUAAAUCAGUAUAACUCUUCUGAUUUCAGAAGGGCUGUGCUGUCUUAUACAAACAGAGAUUAUAUUGUCUGUAAUAUUAAAUUAUAAUAAAAAGUCUUACACUGA